UCAGCAUAGUACCCGGCACACCGUGGACGCACGGAAAGUAUUUUCUGAAUGAGUCGGGCCGGUUCUUGAAAAGAUCGCUAUAGGCUGGGGGGAAAGAGGCCAAAUACAGCUGGUUCCUCUGCAAGGAAAGCUCUCAAAAACCUCCCUGUCCAAACUCUCCUGUCUCCCCUCUUUCCUGAUGAGUGCCUACGAAACCCAGCUGUCACUGUUGUCAGAGGGACCUGACAGAGGGACCCGGGCAGCGACCUGGUGUAUCACCUCCUUCCUGGGUCAGCGCUCGCCUGAGCUCAGAGCCUAAGAGCCGGGCUCUGCAUUACAGCCCUGGGUUCCUUCAAAUCCUGCCUAUACUACUCACCAGCUGAGUGACUAAAGACUGGGGAUAUGACCUUUCUGACCCCUUCGCUUCCUCAUCUAUAAAGUGGUGACAAUAAUAUCUCCCGUAACAUUAGCUAAGGCAUGUGGCAUGUUAUAAAUCAAGUGCUUAGCACAAGUCCUGACACAUACUAAAUGCUCAAUAAAUAAUAGCUAUUAUUGCGGUAGCCCAAGUUUCCCUAGGUUUUUUUUUUUUUAGCUGUCAGAUCCCAGGAACCACACCUGCGGUCAAUAAAACCUCUUAAAUAUUCUUACAAAAUACACAGCCAGGCAAGCUCUUCCCUGUUGCCACCUUGUGCACUUAGUCAUUUCUAACCUAAACAUAAAACCUGACAUGGGCCUUUGAUAACCUGUAUCUAUUUUAUUUCCAUCAGGCGCUGCAGGCUGUUGAGAAGGUUUUACCUCUUGACGCUCCCUGGAGAUGAGGCCAUCCAGGCAUCUCGACCCCCAGCCAGGCCACAUCCACAUCCAUCACACCUCUGCUGGCUUCUCCGUGGCGGAAUCUUUUUUUUUUUUU
This is a long non-coding RNA of Physeter macrocephalus (sperm whale), 889 nucleotides long. RefSeq lists it as uncharacterized. The transcript has 3 exons. The record is from RefSeq and is a predicted model, not a curated record. Lineage: Eukaryota; Metazoa; Chordata; Mammalia; Artiodactyla; Physeteridae.